Molecule: long non-coding RNA, 1681 nt
Organism: Megalobrama amblycephala (Wuchang bream)
Lineage: Eukaryota; Metazoa; Chordata; Actinopteri; Cypriniformes; Xenocyprididae
Exons: 3
Source: RefSeq, a predicted model, not a curated record
ACUGGUUUAACGGAUGUGAGCGCCCUCUCGUGGCCAUUACAGAAACAGCGGGAAAGAGUACAGACUAUUGAGGAGCUAUGUGACGUCAAUAACAUCUGUUUUUAUGCUUUUAACAGACGAAUCCCAAUGAAACACGUCUGGAACCUCUUACAUUUAGGGUCUUCUCCGAACACAUCGUCUCCGACCUCUGCCUCUGCUAUGGCUCGGCGCAUGGCUGCUCCGGGUUUGGUGACGGUGUCGCUGCGGAGGUCCACAGUGCGAACAGCUGAUCCCGUAGCCGCCCGCGGGGACCCAUAGUACAGCCGCACCGGAUCCACGCAAAUAACACUACGAGCGUGUCUGAAGAAACAGCUCCCUGUUGUGAGAGAAACCGUUGCAGUAAGAGGAGGGUUUACUGGAAGUCAGUUUGAAAGAGUUCCCUUCAUUCUUCUAUUUUUUUUUUUUUUUUUCACCACGCUAAGAUUCUCCUGCUGAUUGCAUUGCAUAUUUCCCUGACCAAAACUAUGCACACACAGACUGUAUGUUAUUGUAAAUGCUGCAUAUUUACUCUAGUGGAGUGGGUUGGGAAAACGUUCUCCCAGGAAAACUAGAGCAAGUGUUUAGAUCAGCAGUUUUUUGUGUAUUUCAUACUUUUUAUAUACAUGUUCUGGGGUUUUCAUGGUCAUUUUCAGUUUAGUGCUGAUAAUGCCUGCUAUGUGCAUACUGACAUUUAUGUAAAUAUGAAAAUGGUUUCGUUUUUGGAGUAGAUGCCUGGAUCCUUCAUAGCAGUGUCUGUCAGGAACAAGAUUGAUUUGUGUUUUUAUUUUAAUACUAUUUUUAAAUUAGUUUUUUAAGUUUUAAGUUUACUUUGCAUUAAUUUAUUUCAAUCAAUACUUUUUGUCAUGUGAUGAAUGCUCAGUGACUACUACAUUUCUUUAUUCUUUUUUAGUUUUUUCACUUUGUUUUUAUAAAAAUGUUGUUAAAUGAAUAGUUUUCGUCUUCGUUAUUUUUAGUCUACAAUAAUAACCCUUAUCAGGAAUCUGUAUUCAAUUUUUUUUUUAAUGCAGCUAAUAUUGUUAGUUAAAUAAACAGCAUUACGAUCUGUCAUCAGGCACAUCACUGAACCUAAAAAGGAGAUACAGCCUAGGGCUCAUCAUUUCCCGGUUUGAGUUUGAAGCACAAUCUAAACAUAGAGCACAGGAUUUAGCAAGAUCAUCACUGUACUAUGAUAUCACAGGCCCUGGGAUCUGGAGCUCUAUUUUAGUGGCAUUUACAGCAAAACAGACAAAACAUGCUGGACGUGCUGGUCAAGUGGAACACCAAAACCAGAAGAUCUGGUUCAGAUUCCACUUGGAUCCAAAACAAUUGGCCCUUUUGUUUCCCACUAUUGUGUCCUAAAGUGCUUUGUCCACGUAUGCACACAUUAUACAUAUUACUUACUGGCCUUGAAACUUAUUUUGCAUAAUUUUUAUUAAAAAUAUAGAUUUAUGUCCUUAAGCUAAGGGGAUAUUUUGGUUAGUUUUCAUUCAGUCUCUGUAAAAUUGCUCCUGUUCCAAAAUAAAAAAGACCUAUUGUGAUUUUGUUUCCAAUAUAAAGGACUGUAAAAUAAAGAUUUCCUACACUGUAUAAAAAAAUGUGUGAAAUUUACAGUAGAAAUCUGAUAACAGCAUUUGACACUUGAUAUUGAUUUUGAGCAUUUGAU